UGAGGAAUCUUCCACAAUGGGCGAAAGCCUGAUGGAGCAAUGCCGCGUGCAGGAUGAAGGCCCUCGGGUCGUAAACUGCUUUUAUUAGUGAUGAUUAUGACGGUAACUAAUGAAUAAGGGUCUGCUAACUACGUGCCAGCAGCCGCGGUCAUACGUGGGACCCAAGCGUUAUCCGGAUUGACUGGGCGUAAAGCGUUGCGUAGGCGGUAAUUUAAGCGAAUAGUGAAAGCGUGAGGCUCAACCUCAUACACAUUAUUCGAACUGAAUCACUAGAGAACAGUAGAGGUACCUGGAAUUUCUGGAGUAGGGGUAAUAUCCGUAGAUACUAGAAGGAACACCGAUGGCGUAGGCAGGGUACUGGGCUGUUUCUGACGCUGAGGCACGAAAGCGUGGGGAGCGAACGGGAUUAGAUACCCCCGUAGUCC
RNAcentral lists this ribosomal RNA (425 nucleotides) under uncultured prokaryote. RNAcentral describes it as "bacterial SSU rRNA". It matches the Rfam family "Bacterial small subunit ribosomal RNA", at positions 355 to 796 of the family's 1533-position model. The record is from RNAcentral.